UGCAUGUCUUAGCACAAGCCGAAAAUGGUGAAGCCGCGAAUGGCUCAUUACAACAGCCUUGGUUUAUUUGAUCUUGAAAUCCUACUUGGAUAACUGUGGUAAUUCUAGAGCUAAUACACGCACACAAGCUCGGGCCGCCUUCGGGAGGCGCGAGCGCAUUUAUUAGUACAAAACCAAUCGGGCCUUCGGGCCCGUUGUUUGGUGAAUCUGAAUAACUGAGCCGAUCGCAUGGUCUCUGCACCGGCGACGUAUCUUUCAAGUGUCUGCCCUAUCAACUUUCGACGGUAGUUUAUGUGACUACUGUGGUUACAACGGGUAACGGAGAAUUAGGGUUCGACUCCGGAGAAGCAGCCUGAGAAACGGCUACUA
This 369-nucleotide ribosomal RNA is filed under the name Desmoscolecidae sp. 157_4-1000_X. Its description in RNAcentral is "bacterial SSU rRNA". It matches the Rfam family "Eukaryotic small subunit ribosomal RNA", at positions 52 to 412 of the family's 1831-position model. The record is from RNAcentral. Lineage: Eukaryota; Metazoa; Nematoda; Chromadorea; Desmoscolecida; Desmoscolecidae.